CACUGUAGAGAGUUUGAUCMUGGCUCAGGAUGAACGCUGGCGGCGUGCUUAACACAUGCAAGUCGAACGAUGAUCCGGUGCUUGCACCGGGGAUUAGUGGCGAACGGGUGAGUAACACGUGAGUAACCUGCCCUUAACUCUGGGAUAAGCCUGGGAAACUGGGUCUAAUACCGGAUAUGACUCCUCAUCGCAUGGUGGGGGGUGGAAAGCUUUAUUGUGGUUUUGGAUGGACUCGCGGCCUAUCAGCUUGUUGGUGAGGUAAUGGCUCACCAAGGCGACGACGGGUAGCCGGCCUGAGAGGGUGACCGGCCACACUGGGACUGAGACACGGCCCAGACUCCUACGGGAGGCAGCAGUGGGGAAUAUUGCACAAUGGGCGCAAGCCUGAUGCAGCGACGCCGCGUGAGGGAUGACGGCCUUCGGGUUGUAAACCUCUUUCAGUAGGGAAGAAGCGAAAGUGACGGUACCUGCAGAAGAAGCGCCGGCUAACUACGUGCCAGCAGCCGCGGUAAUA
This 514-nucleotide ribosomal RNA is filed under the name uncultured bacterium. RNAcentral describes it as "bacterial SSU rRNA". It matches the Rfam family "Bacterial small subunit ribosomal RNA", at positions 1 to 525 of the family's 1533-position model. The record is from RNAcentral.